UGAGUAACCUGCCCUUAACUCUGGGAUAAGCCUGGGAAACUGGGUCUAAUACCGGAUAUGACUCCUCAUCGCAUGGUGGGGGGUGGAAAGCUUUAUUGUGGUUUUGGAUGGACUCGCGGCCUAUCAGCUUGUUGGUGAGGUAAUGGCCCACCAAGGCGACGACGGGUAGCCGGCCUGAGAGGGUGACCGGCCAUACUGGGACUGAGACACGGCCCAGACUCCUACGGGAGGCAG
Molecule: ribosomal RNA, 234 nt
Filed under: uncultured bacterium
Lineage: Bacteria
Description: partial 16S ribosomal RNA
Rfam family: Bacterial small subunit ribosomal RNA
Source: RNAcentral